GACAGAGGGUGCAAACGUUGUUCGGAAUUACUGGGCGUAAAGCGAGUGUAGGCGGUGUGGUAAGUCGGAUGUGAAAGCCCCGGGCUCAACCCGGGAAGUGCACUCGAUACUGUCGAGCUAGAGUAUCGGAGAGGUUGGUGGAAUUCUCGGGUGUAGAGGUGAAAUUCGUAGAUAUCGAGAGGAACACCGGUGGCGAAGGCGGCCAACUGGACGAAUACUGACGCUGAGACUCGAAAGCGUGGGGAGCAAACAGG
Molecule: ribosomal RNA, 254 nt
Filed under: uncultured bacterium
Lineage: Bacteria
Description: partial 16S ribosomal RNA
Rfam family: Bacterial small subunit ribosomal RNA
Source: RNAcentral